GGGCAAAUGUAUGAAGUGCUGACCCAAGAGCCUGGAGAAUUAGAGUUUAGGCUCAGAAAAUAAUCUGCAUUUUGUGGUGUAGCCCUUCUCUUCUCUGAAAUGUUGACAGAUUGCUUGGUUUUCACUUUUUUUAUGUGUCCCAGGUGGUGCUGGGACAUGUCAGACCACAGGGUAGCUUGUAGUCACGGGACAAACCAUAGGUAAUUUGGCAGGAUAACAUUAAAAAGCAAGAGGAGGAAACUAUAAAUUCAGAGUGUAACCACCAUAAAGUAUUCUCUUAAUUCCCAGCCAACCUCUUAAAACCACAGAUAGCUCUUCCCUUGCCCAUAAGAUGACUUUCCCUCCCCGUAGGACGUUGUGUUACGGCUCAGACAACAAAGCACUGCAGGAGCAGUGGUGCUGAUGGAUUUCAGAUGUGUUUCAAGACCCGAUGGAGGUUCUGCCCUUUCACAUGCUGGACCUCUCUCCUGUGCGGUAGCAAAGGUUUGGUGUCUCAUAGCCCUGUUUCAUUUCUCAGUGUUUUCUUGAGGACUUCAUGUCAUCCCUCCUCUUCCCUUUUGAUUGGAGAGGACAAGCCAUGUGUCUUUAGAGGUGGAUAUGAAUCAUAACCCAGAGGCAGCAACAACUCCCAUGGCAACAUCCAAGAACAUUUACCAGGCUCGUUUCUGGGAAAAUGACAAAUAUGAGCUACAUGUGAGCCUGAGAUCUGCUUUCCAGUCCUUCCUUGUGUCUCCUAUGUAUUAGACCAACACAUUGUCUGCGUUCAAUUUUACACAUUCUGCCUUCUGAAUCGAACAAAAUCCUCAGAACUGCACUGUUUUCUUAGACUAAUGAAUUCUUUGAGAGGGGUAAAAAUCACCUCAGUAAUAAAUCCAAACUGUGAAGGCCUGAUGUAUCUGUUUUUCUGUUCACCUCCACUGCUGCUAGACAGCAUUAGCCCUCACCUAAUACAGAGCGCAGACUUGAUACAACCUUGUUUAGCACAAUUGGUUUGAAUCCAUUAUAUUGACAAUAUCAAUUUGUGUAAUUCCUGCAUUAGGAUUUUCAGCUAAACUGUAUUUGAAAGGAGCUGUUGACCUUGAUUAGCUCUUUAAUUGUGGUUAAAAUCCAAAGUAAUUCAGAUACCAGCCUUGACUGUGGAAGGGAAGGGCCAUGCCAUGUGAUGGCACAGUCAAUAACUGCUGCGUUCCCCACGGACAGAGCUCCCAUGUUAUAUUGGCUG
This is a long non-coding RNA of Gallus gallus (chicken), 1222 nucleotides long. The record is from Ensembl. Lineage: Eukaryota; Metazoa; Chordata; Aves; Galliformes; Phasianidae.